This 402-nucleotide ribosomal RNA is filed under the name uncultured prokaryote. RNAcentral's name for it is "bacterial SSU rRNA". It matches the Rfam family "Bacterial small subunit ribosomal RNA", at positions 355 to 774 of the family's 1533-position model. The record is from RNAcentral.
UAGGGAAUAUUAGUAAUGGGCGAAAGCCUGAACUAGCAACACCGCGUGUGCGAAGAAGGCCUUCGGGUUGUAAAGCACUUUUUGAGAGGAUUAGGAAGGAAUGUACUUCCAGAAUAAGUCUCGGCUAACUACGUGCCAGCAGCCGCGGUAACACGUAGGAGGCAAACGUUAUCCGGAUUUACUGGGCGUAAAGCGCGUGUAGGUGGUUCUGUAAGUAGGGCGUGAAAGCUCCUGGCUCAACUGGGAGAUGCCGUUCUAAACUGCAGAGCUAGAGGAUGGUAGAGGGAGGUGGAAUUCCGGGUGUAGCGGUGGAAUGCGCAGAUAUCCGGAGGAACACCAGUUGCGAAAGCGGCCUCCUGGACCAUUCCUGACACUCAGACGCGAAAGCUAGGGUAGCAAACA